Molecule: long non-coding RNA, 564 nt
Organism: Gossypium arboreum
Lineage: Eukaryota; Viridiplantae; Streptophyta; Magnoliopsida; Malvales; Malvaceae
Exons: 3
Source: RefSeq, a predicted model, not a curated record
AUUAUUAGUGGAUUUUACCCAAUAAGUAAACAGGCCCGAUCAAUUGAAGGAACCCAAUAGCCCAAAUCAGGCGAUCAACUGGAAGUUAUUGGUUCAUCGCCAAAUCUCAAAACCCUGGCUUUAGGGCUUAUCAGAAAGAUUCUCCCUCUGAAUUUUCCGGUCUCGGCAACUGAAAUGGCCAAGGAAGCACAAGUUUUGCGCCCAUGGUUUCUGGAUUUGGUACCGGUAUUGGUUUACUGGAUUUUCAGAUUAGCUACUGACAAGCAGCCCCAAAGAAGAAAGGCACAUUAAGCUUACAUUAUAUUGGAAAGUUGAGAAAUAUUAGGAGGUUACUUAUGCUGGAUUUUAUUCUAUGUAGAGACAGAGGUUUAUAAAGAGUAUAAUUUUUUGUGAUAUCUAUCAUUUGUCAUGUAACUCAUGUUUAGUUGAACCUUAGAUUUGUUUCAUAUUUCAUGCUUGUACAUUGUUGUUCUAGAUGUUCUUGACUUUGCCUUUAUGCUUACCCUAUUGUGUUGGAUUAUUAUUGCUACUGAGUAUUUGUUAAUGGAUUCACGUUUCCUUCCA